UGUAAGAUAAGCUAAUUAAAGCUAGCGGGUUCAUACCCCGUUGAUGGUAAACCUCUUAAUAAUA
This 64-nucleotide transfer RNA is filed under the name Oniscus asellus. RNAcentral's name for it is "tRNA-Met". Lineage: Eukaryota; Metazoa; Arthropoda; Malacostraca; Isopoda; Oniscidae. The record is from RNAcentral.